Cuculus canorus (common cuckoo) is the source of this 881-nucleotide long non-coding RNA. RefSeq lists it as uncharacterized. The record is from RefSeq and is a predicted model, not a curated record. Lineage: Eukaryota; Metazoa; Chordata; Aves; Cuculiformes; Cuculidae. The transcript has 3 exons.
UCUCUGCAGAUGGUGGGAUAUAAGAUGAAGUUGACACACAAGGUGUGGAUCAUCUGGACCUUUGUACAGCAAUUGUCUGGUUUGAACAGCAGAUGAGUUUGAUCUUGAAAAGCAUCAGCUACACUGAAAAAUGUAAUCUCCAGGGCUCUGAGAUCCCUGCUCCCUUGUGCCUUCUACUUACUGUGUUCCCUAACUGACUUCUUUGCAUCCAUCUGAAUGUUAGAGACCUCACUACUUGAAGUGACUGAAGUUGGGUAACUUCCUAACAUCUGGAUCCCCAUGGCUCACCUUUCUUUUGUCCUGGGUAUUGCCACGGUGUUCCUAUGAAGGGAGUGAUGGGGAGGAGAGGGAAGCAGACUGCAUAGAAUUCUGGGGCACUGAUGGGAAAGAAGAACCUGUUGACUGUAGGAUCAUCCCACAUAGCUGAUGCUGUUGCAGUUUUUUCUGCUGAGAAUGACUCCUGGCCUUCUCAAAGAUAAGUUCAGGGACCAGGGCUGGCGUAGGGUGUGGCAGAGGAGAGGAGGUUGGGAAUGGCAGGGAGGUAUUUCAAGAGUAGCACAGGGGAGAGGGCCAAGCAGGAAGAGUACUCUUUAGGCAGGUAAAGGCAGAGGGGCCUACUUCUCAGCUGAACACUAGCAUGGGCAGGGCAGUUCCAGCCUCUGUCUGUUGCUGUGUCAUUUUUCUUGUCCGUCUGCUGUGUCUCAAUUUCUGAAGCUCUUGAUGCUCUCUUUGCACCCAAGGCAUGCCAGGUGUGCUUUGGGCACCAUUGAUGAGCAAAAGCGGACAAGGGGGUUGAGAGUGUUUGUUAGAGCUUGGCGUUGUUCUCCUUGAAGACCUUGGAAGUUGGUGACGAAGGAGCCAGCUAGCGGAAGUUUACUGAU